AAAGAUGGCGGCGGAGGAGCAGGAGGCAUUGAGGGAGUUCAUGGCGGUGACGGACACUGAGGAGGAAAGGGCUCGUUUCGUCCUGGAGACGGCUGGCUGGGACCUGCAGAAGCUGACUGCAGAGGUGAACAACCCUGGUGUGAUGUCCUCAGUGAGUGAAGAUACUCCAUUCCAGAGGAGGUCACAUCUGGGAGGCCGCCAUCCAAAAGAAAGCCACUCUGUUGGUGUAGGAAGUGACAGCUGCAUUCUCCUGUGCCUACUGCAUAACCAAAAAUGAAGGAGAACUACUGUUUACAAGCUGCCCUGCUUCAUUCUGACAUUGACGCCGGUGAUGGAAACAUUAAAUACAUUCUCUCAGGAGAAGGAGCGGGAACCAUUUUUGUGAUUGAUGACAAAUCAGGGAACAUUCAUGCCACCAAGACAUUGGACAGAGAGGAGAGAGCCCAGUACACACUGAUGGCUCAGGCAGUGGACAGGGACACCAACAAACCACUGGGGCCACCUUCAGAAUUCAUUGAUAAGGACCAGGACAUUAAUGACAACCCUCCAGAGUUUCUGCAUGAAAUCUAUCAUACCAAUGUGCCUGAGAGGUCCAAUGUGGGUAGGAACAUCAGUUAUCCAAGUGACAGCCUCUGAUGCAGAUAAUCCCACCUAUGGAAAAAGUGCCAAGUUAGUGUAUAGCAUCCUUGAAGGACAACCCUACUUCUCAGUGGAGGCCCAAACAGGAAUCAUCAGGACAGCCCUUCCCAAUAUGGACAGAGAAGCCAAGGAGGAGUACCACGUGGUGAUCCAGGCUAAGGACAUGGGUGGACACAUGGGUGGACUCUCAGGGACAACCAGAGUGACGAUCACUCUGACUGAUGUCAACGACAACUCAGCAAAGUUUCCAAAGAGUAAAGAGUCGAAGCUGGUCUUUGAUAAUGACCACUGCUCAGCGAGAGCCUCAUCUUUUCUUUCACUCCUAAUUUACCCAGCUUUCAAAAGGAAGAGUCUGGAAAUCCAAGAAUCAUUUUCGUGAUUCUUGCAAAAAACUAGAACAAGAUAGCAAAGACUUAAAAACACACCGAGGAAAGUUAAACAGUAUAGAGAUCAUGAGAAGUAAGGAAGUCAUUAAAACUGUGUAACUCUGGAGACCAGAAUAUCUGAGUCUUGAGAUAUUUUACUUAUUAGGUAUUAAUCAUAAAAGGCAGUCAUCAAUUAACGUUCCUCUGUCUCAGUGUUCUUCACUGAUGCUAACAGAACCGUGAUCUGAUGCUUAUCAUUCCAUAAAAAAUCUCCCCCACAUCUUGAUGAUUGUAAGUAACAAUCACUUAUUAGUUUCUUGACUUUAUUUUGUACAGAGCAUAGGAGAAAUAUCUACUCUGUUGUCACUCCAGCAUCAGCAGGGCAGUUCUCCUGUGGCAGAAAAACCCACUUCUAAGAUUCCUUAUAAGCCUGGCAAAUUGAGAUUAGCUUGUGCUUCCUCUCCACAUGGGCCUUUCUGUGGCUGAGUUCUGAUCAUGAGAACUCCGUGACCAUUUUUUGAGCUGAUACCAGAAGCCAUGGGACUUCUUUCCCUGUAGCCUUAAGGCUGCCAGCAUAGCAGUAAAGCUCAGCCAGACCUCACAGUUCUAUGAGAGGACCAUAAAGUAACAUUGGAGGGGCCUGUGGGAUACGAGCUAUACUAGUAUCCUUGUAGAAGAUGAUACCCUAGCAUUUAACCUAAAUACAAUCUUUAUUCAGAUUAAUCCAGCUAGUGCUAAUUUUUAUAUCAUUUGAAAAAAAAAACCGGCAAUAAUUGUUCAGCCAUUGUUAUUUUGAAUACUGUACAAUAUUUAUGAAGUUACUGAGGGAAAAUAUUAUUUGGCAGUUGAGGGUAUAUAAUUCUUUUGCAGAAAUCCAUGGUUAGGUUCUUAGCAACAAUAUUAUUGGCUCUGAACAGCUGAAAUUCGGGCCAGGAGGACCUGUAGCCUUCUUAUGGUCUCCGUUGUAUCUGCAUUCCUAGUCACAGAGCCACAUAGACACAGGCAUAUGCAUACCUAAAAGUAAGAUACAUCAUUAAAAUGUUUAGGUUUACUAUUUUAAUUAUGUGUUUAUGAGUGUGUCUAUAUGUGGUUGUUUCCUAUCUGUAGGGACCCACAGAGGCCAGGACUGUCAGAUUUCCCUGCAGCUGUAAUUAUGUGUGACUGUGAGCUGACUUGGGUGGGAAUAACCAAACUCUGGUCAGCAGGAAGAGAAACAUACGGUCUUAGUUCUGAGCCAUCACUCUAGCACCAAACAAAACAACUCUUUGGAGACAGUGGUAUUGAAAUAUUGAAAUUAAUGAUAGCUGCUAAUUUUAAUAUCUGGUCACUAAUGUUAUAAAUAUCUAAAAAGAGCCUAUGUUUUAUAGAUAUAAUUGGCUCCUAGGGAAAGGACAUUGAGGGGACUAAGGAAUUUCUGGAAUCAUAUUUUAGUGUGUAUGUGCAAAGGGCAGUCCAGAGUUAUAACACAAAAAUAAUGACUCUGAGCUUUCCAGUAAUGACAAAAACACCCAUGGCUCCAGUUACAGAGAGUCUGACACACUUUCUGGUCUCUGCAGACACCCACAUACACAUAGUGUACACUCAAAGACAGACAGACAGACAGACAGACAGACAGACACAUAGCGUACACUCAAAGACAGACAGACAGACAGACAGACAGACACACACACACACACACACACACAAUAUAAAAAAUAAUAAACCCAAAGGAAGUCAGUUAAGUAUACCAAUUAAGGAGGCACUAUGGUUAUUCAAAGUUACCCAAGAUAACAAUCUACCAAAUGAAGAUAUCAUGGUAGAGGAUCCUGAGACACAUAUUAGUUCUUGAGGACUCCAAAAGAGAUGGGUCAACCAUGCUAUUCCUUGUCAGAUGGAAAGGUAUGCAUCUUUGAUAAUAUUGAGGCACAUACAACAUAGUCAAAGCUGCCUAUUCCAUUUGCACAAUGUACAAUUGUUCCAUAUGCCAGAAAAGUAGGUAGACAGACUUAUUCAUGGAUGUCCACUAAUGCCCUUUUUUAUAUAGAGUGGUAUAGAAAUUUUAUAUUUCAGUUUUAAUAUUUCACAGUCAUGGGCUUGAAUGAGAUUUGGAGAAAAUUACAUUGCAACAGAUCUUCUGAACAUUGUUAUACAUUGUUCAUUUCUACAGAAAGUCACACUCCCUGUGCCUUGCCUGUGAAUACAAUACAAGAUUAGGUAGAAAAUGGGUACAGUAUAAUCACGAAAAGAAUGCAGCACUGCAGCAUAUAAUAGCUGCAGUAGAGGAAAGGAAGAGUCUAGGGGAGUCCCCUAAUGCCAGUGGGCUGAGCACUGCAGGAGAGGGUUCCUCCGCCCACGCAUAGUGUGUCUUAGACAGGUUGCUUUUCAAAUGUGUCAAAUGAUGGUGCUACAGCUCAUUCCUUUACUGAAAACUGUCUAGUGCUUUCCCUAAAUGGAACUCAACAUCUUGACUAUUUUCAGCAAUGCCGUUUACAUGCCUCCGUCCUACUGUUAUUCUCCCGUAACAGAAGUCCCACUGUACAUUUUCAGAAUCUUCAGAAUUUGCAGCCUCACCUGAGGCUUUCUGACAUUUGUUGUUCCUUGUUCUGUGACACUUAUUGCCCACAUAUUCAUACACUUGUCUUGCUCAUUUUCUUCACUGGAGUUCAGAUUUCUUCCAACGAAAGUUUUCUGUCUCUACCUUGUCCAAAAUAAAUCCCGAUUUCCUUCUCAUCUACACAUACUUAACCAUGAUAGGUGUCCACUCACAUACAUUGUCAUAGAAAAACAUAUCAUACCCCACUCGUAUAGAGCAUAAAACAUAUCACACUAACUCGUAUAGAGCAUAAUCACAUACAUAACUACACACUCAUUUGUGUAGCUUAAACGCUUACACACACACACACCCUACUUCCCUUUAUCCCUUACCAUACAAUACUACUUAGCCUAUAACAUCAUAGUGUAUCUAGAUAUGUUUUGUUUUCUCUUUUUUUUAAAUGUCAUGUUGAGAAUGAUAACUCUUCCUUUACUUAGCUUCAGAGCUAAAAGAGUAAUAUAUCAUCAUUUGCAUUCAUGAGAAAUAAAUACUGUAAACAUAAAUAUAAAUAGGUGUGGCACCAUUCUUUAUUUCUGAAAAAUAUAAACAUAAAGGGAGUUGACUGUCUAAAAGCUUCCAGAGCAUUCCAUGCUUUACCUAGUACAAAGGAUGAAGAGUAAGAUGAGAGAAAUAUCUCUUUGCUCAAGAAAGAUUCUUGAAAGAUUUGUAUUUGUCUCUAAAAUAAAUAUGAAGUGAUGAAACCUUUUUAAGCAGGGGGUAAAUUUACUCUUCUGUGGCUGCUUUUCUUUGAGCAAUUAGUUCAAGGAAUCUUUGGCAUUAGUUUGUGGGACACCCUGAAAAGGAAGCCUCAGGUGUUCCAGUAUGUGGACUCUUGCAUAGGACCUUGUCACUGUUUUCCUUUCUCUCGUGUUGUGGGUGACCUCAUCAUCUUACCAGGACCCCAAUGUUGUUUUGUCAUGCUGGAAGGAACACAUUGCUCCUGCAUGCUGGCCAUCUGGGAUCCUCUUCCCAUCCAUCCACUUCACUUCUGCGUCUACCAAUAAAAAGUUCAAUUUUAAACCCUUUGAGAAAUUUGCUGGGAUUCAAUGAAAUCUGAAGUCUUACAGCUGCCAAAUAAAAAGU
Molecule: RNA transcript, 4659 nt
Organism: Mus musculus (house mouse)
Lineage: Eukaryota; Metazoa; Chordata; Mammalia; Rodentia; Muridae
Gene name: RIKEN cDNA 6820431F20 gene
Exons: 5
Source: RefSeq, marked validated